CCGAUAAAUACUCGCUUGCUCGGCCUUCUAAGCCGUAGGUCACACGUUCGAAUCGUGUAGGGCGGGCCA
Molecule: transfer RNA, 69 nt
Filed under: Burkholderia orbicola AU 1054
Lineage: Bacteria; Pseudomonadati; Pseudomonadota; Betaproteobacteria; Burkholderiales; Burkholderiaceae
Also listed under: 1 other name
Description: tRNA-Ser (CGA) (tRNA-Ser-CGA-2-1)
Source: RNAcentral